This 146-nucleotide non-coding RNA is filed under the name Actinotalea fermentans. The record is from RNAcentral. Lineage: Bacteria; Bacillati; Actinomycetota; Actinomycetes; Micrococcales; Cellulomonadaceae.
AAGAGGGAACCCGGUGGAACUCCGGGACUGCCCCGCAGCGGUGAGUGGGAACGACAGUCGUCAUCAGCACUGGGCACCAGCCCGGGAAGCGACGACCGGUAGGUGCGGGUACCCCGGUACCCGCGAGCCCACGAGUCCGAAGACCU